GCAAAUGAAGGCAUUCCUCUGGACCCCAAGGCAUCUCCCCAAGAUGACCACAGUUGUCCCUGAAGAAGCAGUCACAGCAAGCUCACUUCACAGGAACCAAGCUGUGGGCUGAUCCUACAGACUUGAAAAGACAACUCAAAAAGAUUGUCUGUGGGGUCAGAAACAGCUCUGGAGGGGUCUGCAGAAAUUACUUUCCCAAGUCUUUGGGCUGGAAGGAACGAACAGUGCCUGACCAAGGACUUUGAGCAGGAGAGAGAUGGGAGCAGAGAGGAGCCAAGGUCUACUAUUUUCACUUCUGUCAAUUAGAUCAAAGCCCUGCCCAGAAGCUUUGAGCGCCGCUGUCAAGUCCCAUUCCUCCCCUAAACCAUCCAGGUUCCAUCUGCCUUGAAGCCAAAGGAUCUUCUUAGAUUCCUCAAGAAAAAUUCAGGCCCCGAGUUUCUCCACCAGCACUCUCCUCUCCCCGAAGGAGUGGGUGGGCUGCAUUUCUCUUCAUAUUCUAUUCCAUUCCAGACCGUCUUGGACUACCAGCCUGUCCGCCACCCCUCGGGGCCCUCCCUCCUACUCUGCCCUUGCCCGCUGAGGUCCCAAGCUGAGGAGAUGAGCCGAGCAGUAAAAAGAGAGGAGGUUUGGAAAAGCAAUGUCCUCUCAGUCUUUAAUAGGUGGCCCCCCUGGGAACCUGCUGGAAGUGGAAGUUAAUAAGCUGAAGGUGGUCACAACCAAUCUCUGCCACACUCGCACCCUACCCCACCCCAAAUCAUUCCUUUUAAUUAAUAGUGGAAGACCUUUUUAAAAAUGUAACAUGAAUUGGCUAUUUCUUGAGGCAAACAAAAGGUGGCUCUGAAGCGAUAUAUUUGUACUCGUAUAAAUU
RNAcentral lists this long non-coding RNA (868 nucleotides) under Homo sapiens (human). Its description in RNAcentral is "HSALNT0333877". Lineage: Eukaryota; Metazoa; Chordata; Mammalia; Primates; Hominidae. The record is from RNAcentral.